Molecule: long non-coding RNA, 2511 nt
Organism: Balaenoptera musculus (blue whale)
Lineage: Eukaryota; Metazoa; Chordata; Mammalia; Artiodactyla; Balaenopteridae
Exons: 4
Source: RefSeq, a predicted model, not a curated record
AUGGUCUAAUUCAACGCCAUCAGGCCUUUGAAGUUGAUACUACUGAAGUUGAUACAAUAUUAUUCCCAUUGUGUGGAGGCAGACAUGGAGGCGCAGGUUAAGUAACUUGGCAGAGCUGGGAUUCAGAUUCUGGAUGGUCAGGCAACAAAAGCUCAUGCUCUUAAGCUAUUGUAAAGAAAAAUAUGAACAUACCUAUUUUUAUUCAGUUGCAAGUGGUCUGAUUAAAAUUAGGCCAGCAAAUUUUUAUUUAUAUGCCACUAAAGUUUGUCAAGACAAGAUAAGAAAUAGGAAUCUAGAGGACAUUUUGUCCGUUGUUAUUUAACUGUGUCCCAAUUUUCAAAAGGUGGAAGUGGGAGGAGUUGAUUCUAAACGCCAUGGUGGAAUAUGGUAAGACGUUAUCUCAAGAUAGCUGUGUAAAGAUAGUAAUUGUAGCUCAAACUGUCAGUAACAGAAUGAGUACUCAUGUCAGUGUUUUGGUCUAAGCAUUUUUCAGGAGCAAUAUUCUACACCUCAUAUUAACCUAAGAAGCAUAAAAUAGAGUAUUUUUAUACUGUAGAUUAUAACUCUUUAGUGGUAAUUAAAUCAAUUUAGUGUGUCAUGAGCUGUCAUGAUCAGUAUCUUUAAAAAACAAUAUAAAACAUCAGAAUAUAUUACUUAGUGUAAAUAAUAUGUAUUGUUUUGUGAAACUUGUUUCAGGUGUGUGUGUGUGUGUGCGCACGCACACACACACAUCAGAUCACAAUAUAAAAAGAAUGUCUUCCUAUUGGUUGUGGUUGGAAAGGUUUGAAAACAUUGAAAUCAGAAUAUACAGGACUUAAGGCAAGCACCAGCUGUAAAGGAAAGAAAGAAAAUAUAUUUGUAGUCAAUGGUAGUUCAUUCAUUCCACAGCUAUUUCUUCAAUGUAUUGAACACCAAAAGUAUGCAUAACAACUGCCUAAAAUUAGGAGGAGACACAAGUGCAACUUUUAAGGUGAGCCCUUCUCUCUGGGGAGAGUUUACAAUCUUGUUGGAAAGAGAAGUUGCAGAGAGGAAUCAGUUAAAUAACAGUCCAAGGCAGUAUGAGAUUAAGUUCUCAACUCUACCAAUAAUAGUCAUUGAUUUCAGAAAACUGAUGUGGGCAAUAGCAGUUGAGGAGCGUUCAGAAGAAAGGAGCUGAAUUUGAGCUGAACUUGAAAUGGGAGGAUGAAGGUGGGAGGGAAAGGUUUUCCAGCAGGAAGAAGUGCGGAAAGCUAAAGAUGUUUGAGGUACAACUAAUUUGGAGUAAUAAGAGGUGGGGUUGGGUGAAUAAGGGGAGGCGUAGUAUUAGGAGAGUUUCUGGUUAGUCACGGGAGUUUACCGGAAAUUGGGCAAUCACUGGAAUUUUCUGAACAAUGAAAUGACAGGUUGAAAUCAGAGUGUUAGUCCAUAGGGUGAAGAGAGAAGAAAGGUCAGAUAGGAAAUUAUUGCUAGAGUGAACCAUCCAGUUCAAAAGUGCUGGACUGGCAAAGAGCCAGAAGUAAAGCACGUUGUAGGAAGCUGUGCUCUGGCGACAGACAAGGAAACCUGAAACUUAAGCCAUUUCAAGUGAAGUGACAGACCUUCCAAGAGAAUCACAGCAUCACACAACAGCCAUUGAUUUAAUGUUCUGUCACCUCCAACUUCAGACCUGCUUGUUCAGUGACCAGAUCCUCAAAGUUUCAACUGGGACGUGGUAACUUUUUUAGAUGGAGCAAUGCUUCUUGCCAAUCAUCAUAUACAUACUCAGUGACCUUGCAUGAAGAAACAUCCUGUCUGCAGAAAAGGAGACUGCACCUCAUCUACACAAGGCAGGGCUGAUAAGAAAUAACUUGGAGAGGUGAAGUUGGCAGAGAUCCACGCCUUCACUGCAUGGAAGGUGACAGCUGCACUAGUGCUUUGCCAAUGACGAUUUGACAGAAAAGAACUUUACUACUCAAAGUGUGGUUUGAGGACCAGCGACAUCUCAGACCCAGCCUGGACAGUAUGCAUUUUAACAACAUCUCCAGGCGCUUCAAAUGCAUGUUAAAGCUUGAGAAGCACUGCUGCAAGACAGAGACUCCUUCUCUCACUAUCCUUUUUCUAAAGGGGAAAGAAUAAUGAACAUCACUGAUUACGUGCCUGCUCUGUGUCAGGGGCUGGUUUCUUUGCUGCCAUUUCCCUCCUCCUCACUCUGUGAGGUUGGCACUAUUUCCCUUUACCUGUGAAGAAAUGAAGAUGAAGGAGUUAACGCCCCAGCCCGAGAGCAAGUAGAAACUCAAACUCAAGUCUUUUUGCCUGAACGCUUUACACUACUUCCAAACCACAUGGGUCUACUGGCUUUUACUGCUGGAGAAGAAGACAGAAGUGGGGGAAAAAAAAGAAAACGAAAACAGAACAAAACAAAAAGAGAGACAUGGAAGCACUCACCUUGAGUUUCGAUGAAAUCAGUAAAGAACCACUUUUUUUUUUUAGACUUAUAAGAAACAUUUUUAAUAUCAAUUUUAAGUUAGAGAGAUGCACACUUUUUGUGUUUUU